This 264-nucleotide long non-coding RNA is filed under the name Mus pahari (shrew mouse). RNAcentral describes it as "sarcosine dehydrogenase, opposite strand (MGP_PahariEiJ_G0003250.1)". The record is from RNAcentral. Lineage: Eukaryota; Metazoa; Chordata; Mammalia; Rodentia; Muridae.
UGGGGAAGUCUGAGCUUUGCCCUUAUCUGGGGUCUCCGGACACAAGGCUGUGUGUGCAGUGCAGGAGUCCGCAGGCAGUGUGGGGACGUGGCCGUUGCCAGCGGCCUGGGCGGCUGUAGCCUCCACCUGCAUCCCAUCAAUAGAUUCCCUUCACCCGCUUGUUGUCAGGGUCAAAGGGGGACUUCAGCUUCUUGCCUCUAACCCAUUCUCUCAAACCACACAGUACCCGCCCUUCCCUAGAGCCUCCAAUAGCUCCCAGUUACC